AACAAAGCAAUAUUUAUGAAAUUUUUAUCAUCGAAUCAAAGUGUAAAUGUUAAUGUGCAUAACACAAAUUGCAGGUAAAUCUAACUGUUCAAAUGUCUAGUAGAUAUAGCGUCCUUUUCCAACCUUGACCAACUUCAGAACUUACAACUAUCAUAAGAGACCUAUUUUGGGAGAACCUCUUUGUGAGCUUUGAAUGAGAGAAUUACAUUCCAAAUUAAAGCAAUAGCAUUAGCAGCAAGAACCUGAAAUUGCUGAGGGACAAAUCGGAAGUUCAGAAAUUGAAAAGGUAUCCACAGUUGCCAAUUUGCAAGAACAGCAGAAAACCACUCCUGUUGAAGCUUGGGUACAACUUGUUGAGGCCGGCCUUCUAGUGUCACCAAUGUAGACAAGAAAACUCCAAUGAAUAUUGGAGAAAAAAGGAACUGAUCAAGUAGAAGACGCAAGAAUGCACCUGAUGCUCCAGGCAAUGUUACCAAUUUACUCAGAUACAAAUACCAGAAAUGCAAUGUGGGACCCACUAGUACCAAUCCCAAGAAAGUAAACAGAAGCGUCCUUUUUACUUCAAGAGAAGGAACUUG
This 578-nucleotide unclassified non-coding RNA is filed under the name Hevea brasiliensis (rubber tree). Lineage: Eukaryota; Viridiplantae; Streptophyta; Magnoliopsida; Malpighiales; Euphorbiaceae. The record is from RNAcentral.